AGUUCUGGACCUGGCAAGGGCUUGUUAUGGUGACAAGAGGCAGGGGAGGCAAGGUACAGAUGUAGAAGGCAGACUGCAGGAAAGGGGUGAAGUAAAGGCGAGAUUCAAGCGACUGUUCUAAAAGAUCUCAUCUUUAUGAUACUGAAGCCAUGUCCUGGAGGAGCAAGCUUGAGAAACAAAAGGUCCAGGAGUGGAUCAAUUCUCUUCUGCAGAUGCCUGAACAAAGCUCUCCAGUUUAGGAAAAUAGAGUUCUUGUUUCAAAGCAGUUCCUGAGAACUGCCCAGAUUUGAAUUGAAUAGUUCCCGAGCUACAAGCUGGAGCAGAUGAGUCCCCUGGGAAGAGAGAACCUCAAAUGAGAAAUGCCAAUGCCCCCUUCAGACUGGCCUCCAGGUCCCUCUCCAGAGCUAGGUCCUCUUGGAGGUUUUUUCUCCCAGCAAUGGAUCUGACUCCAUGUGACCUUGGCCAAGUGGUCAUGAAGACUUGACUGGAAACUUGAGUCACCAAUGGCAUUUGCAAUCCGGAGAAGAAUCUCUGCUGGGAACUUCAAGUUGAACCCUUAGACUCUCAGUUUUCAGGAAAGAUUAUGAGCCACGAGAAACUACAAGACACUGUGAUUCUCAUGUGGGAAAAUGAGCUGCCUGCUGAAGACCUCCAAUCACUUUAA
Long non-coding RNA from Mus musculus (house mouse), 664 nucleotides. RefSeq annotates it as RIKEN cDNA 4930445N06 gene. The transcript has 5 exons. Lineage: Eukaryota; Metazoa; Chordata; Mammalia; Rodentia; Muridae. The record is from RefSeq and is marked validated.